Long non-coding RNA from Gorilla gorilla gorilla (western lowland gorilla), 1866 nucleotides. RefSeq lists it as uncharacterized. The record is from RefSeq and is a predicted model, not a curated record. NCBI's taxonomy places the organism in Eukaryota, Metazoa, Chordata, Mammalia, Primates, Hominidae. The transcript has 3 exons.
GCCAUAGUAGCUCUGAGAACUGAAUCUCGGGGACCAGGAACAGUCUCACAUGUCAUUGUAAUCUGGAUUCAUGAGCUCUGACUUUCCACAGCCUUUGAGUCACUGAGAACCAGGAUCAACUUUCACAGAGGAUCCAGAUAAUCAGCCAGCUUGAGUCACACUCCUGCAGUUUGGCUAGGGUAGGGAUUCCUGACCAACAGUCCCAUAAGAUCUUAUCCAGUCAGGAGGGACUGGCCCAAUCUGAAGUGCAGCCGAGACGGGGAGCCACAGACCUGGAACCUGGGUACUCAAAGAGUUGUCCACAUGCCAGCAGCACUGGCCCUUCCAGGAGCUGUUAGAAAUGUAGAACCUCAGAGCCUCCAUUGAAGAUAUUGAAUCGGAGUCUGCACGUCGCAUCUGAGAAGCCAUGAGCUAAGCUGGUGCCAUUCAGCUGGGUAGCAUCUCAGUCACUGUGCAACUUUUAAACCUACAGCUGCCCAGGCCCACUGCAGACCUGCUAAAUUCAAGCUCCUUGUAGUGGGGCCAGGGCCCUGGGACUUCACACAAAACUCUGCAAGUCAUCACUGAUGAGAAAACCAAGACUCGAUGAGAGUCUCCUGAGCUCGGAGGAAGAAGCUGCAUAACCAGCACACUUCCAGAGAGGACCGAGGAAGAGAGCGUCGCUUCAGCUAGGGAUCUGAUUAGUCAUGCCUGGAACUAAAGGAGUGGAGCUGGGGAUGCCAAUGUUUCUGUUGAGACAGCUGAAGGGGCCAUGCGAGCCCACAGCGAGAGCUGCAGGAGCAGCUACUACAGGCAGUGGGCAGAUUUUAGGAUGUGCAGCUUUGGACAUGGUGUGCCUCGGUUGUACAUUCAGGAAUCUCUUUCCUUGUGAUACGCAGAGCUGCACGUGGAAGAUGUUAGGAACACAGCUGGGUGCAGUUUUGCUGGUUAGUUCUGAACAAACCUACAGACAUGAGAUUUGAACUCUAUAAGGGAAGAAAGCAAGGAGGAAGAAGGCACUGAGGCUGCCUGUCACCAGGAGGGUUCUGGGCAAAACGGGGUAGAGUGACUUGAGGCAGUUCCUCUUAACGAUGGCACAGGCAGUAGGGGUUGAGACACAGUGGGGUUGAGACUUGCUUAAAUGUAUAGUUAUUCAGUCAGCCAUUUUCGUAGAAUAAUUGUGGGUUGUCCUGAGCUGCCGAGUUCACAUGUUCUGCAGUGGGGCACUAUAUGCUAAUAUGAGAUGUGAGUUCACCCAGAUUUCACCGCCCUAGAAGGUCAUUUUUUUUUAAAGUAAAACAAUGUUGUGGCCAGGUGUGGCCUGUUAGCUUUAAAAACGAAUGGCCUCUGCUGAGGGACACUUGGGUUGUUUCCCUGUCUUGGCUACGGUGAGCAGUGCUGCAGUGGACAUGGGAGGGCAGGCAGCUCUUCUACCCACUGGCCUCCUUUCCUGUGGGUUUGUCCCCAGAAGUGGGACCUGCUGGAUCAUAUCGAAGCUCUGGUUGUCAUUUCCUGAGGAACCUUCAGGCUGUUUUCAUCCUGGCUCUACUAAUUUACAUUCCCACCCUCAGUGAAUAAGGGUUCACUCUUCACAUCCUCACCAGCACAGGUUACCUUUUGACUUUUUCAUAAUUGCCAUCCUAACAGGUGCGAGGUGAUAACUGUUUGCGGUUUUAAUUUGCAUUUCCCUGAUGAUUAGUUGAGGACUUUUUCAUAUACCUGUUGCCCAUUUGUAUGUCUUCUUUGGAAAAAUGUCUAUUCAGGUCCUUUGCCCAUUUUUAAUCAGGUUAUUACUCUUAUUAUUUUGCUACUGAGCUGUAUGAGUUUCUUAUUUAUUUAAAAUAUUAACCCCCUUUCAGAUAUAUGGUUUGAAAAUGAUGUCUUUUA